This 100-nucleotide non-coding RNA is filed under the name Clostridium sp. RNAcentral's name for it is "Azaaromatic sequence". It matches the Rfam family "azaaromatic riboswitch aptamer (yjdF RNA)". RNAcentral also lists the same sequence under 1 other name. The record is from RNAcentral. Lineage: Bacteria; Bacillati; Bacillota; Clostridia; Eubacteriales; Clostridiaceae.
AUGGGCAGGGAUAAAAACACAGCCCCGGUUGGUAGUCCGGGCGCGGCGGACCGCCGUCAGUAACCCUCCUCCUAGGUUGUCCGUUCCCUGCUCCCACAGA